RNAcentral lists this transfer RNA (72 nucleotides) under Toxocara canis (dog roundworm). It matches the Rfam family "tRNA". From Rfam's summary of the family: Transfer RNA (tRNA) molecules are approximately 80 nucleotides in length. Their secondary structure includes four short double-helical elements and three loops (D, anti-codon, and T loops). The record is from Rfam by way of RNAcentral. Lineage: Eukaryota; Metazoa; Nematoda; Chromadorea; Rhabditida; Toxocaridae.
GCGGCAAUAGCUCAGUGGUAGAGCCCCCGCUUCGCGUGCGGGGAGACUUGGGAUCGAUUACCGGCUGCCUCC